GAUGAACGCUGGCGGCGCGCCUAAUACAUGCAAGUCGAGCGAACAGACGAGGAGCUUGCUCCUCUGACGUUAGCGGCGGACGGGUGAGUAACACGUGGAUAACCUACCUAUAAGACUGGGAUAACUUCGGGAAACCGGAGCUAAUACCGGAUAAUAUAUUGAACCGCAUGGUUCAAUAGUGAAAGACGGUUUUGCUGUCACUUAUAGAUGGAUCCGCGCCGCAUUAGCUAGUUGGUAAGGUAACGGCUUACCAAGGCAACGAUGCGUAGCCGACCUGAGAGGGUGAUCGGCCACACUGGAACUGAGACACGGUCCAGACUCCUACGGGAGGCAGCAGUAGGGAAUCUUCCGCAAUGGGCGAAAGCUUGACGGAGCAACGCCGCGUGAGUGAUGAAGGUCUUCGGAUCGUAAAACUCUGUUAUUAGGGAAGAACAUAUGUGUAAGUAACUGUGCACAUCUUGACGGUACCUAAUCAGAAAGCCACGGCUAACUACGUG
Molecule: ribosomal RNA, 497 nt
Filed under: uncultured bacterium
Lineage: Bacteria
Description: partial 16S ribosomal RNA
Rfam family: Bacterial small subunit ribosomal RNA
Source: RNAcentral